GUUGGCUUUACUGCUCGCCAGGUCGAACUGGGAAAAUUGCUGACCAACUACAAAAUAUCAUGAUAAUCUUAACAUUGCUUCGAAAACUUCUUUCUGAACGUAAAUAAAAUAUUGUCAGGGAUAAUAGUGAACUACUGACUCGGCUGCGAGAGGUCAAGGAUCAGUUAUGAGUUACUUUUCUUUCUUAAAUGAGUUACUUUUAUUUGAAAAUGUUUCAAAUCCAAAGACUUUCAUUAAUUACAAGAAAAUCUUUUAGACGUAAUAAAAAAAGCUGGAAUAUUUUAUUGUCUCCCUCUGGCUGAGGUUAGUGUAAAAAUACGAGGGCUAACCCAUGACAUUAAGAAGAUUCUGACCCCUUCACAGGACGUCGUGCAAAUGAUAAUUUCAGUCCCGCUUGUUGGUUCGAUGUCCUCAGCAUCAGAAGUUGGCCCGCCUAAUGAAAGAGAUACAAUUGACUGCAAUGUUAUCGUUAUUUUGUCCCUGGCUCCCAAGAUCAUGCGGUUCGGACAGUAGCCUGCAAGCAGACAAGCCUGGAAUGUGCAGACAAGCCAUGCGAUGAGACCUACAGGCAGUACGUGGAGCGCCGGCGCGGAAGCCCUUACUCGAAUAAGGAAUGGAAAAGGAGAUUUGCAUUUGGUGCAUUUGAUUUAGAAAAUAUUAAAAAUGAUGACAAUCUAAAUAUUUUUCAUCUUUCAUACUGCUUGAUUGUCUUUUUUGGGAACCUGAAAAACAAAAUAUUCCGAGCGAUGCUUCAGGACUGCCGAAUAAGCUGCGUGCUGUCAAAUAUCUGCUGAACAAGGCCUUUUAUAUUUUGAAUAUUUAUCACAACCGACAGCUUUGAAUGAAUUAAAAAUUGAACUUAUGGAACUUGUGGAAAAAGCCUGAAGGUUUACUGUUUUCCCCAGUCUGAACUUGUAGAUAUAAAACUGGAGCUUAUCCACGACGUACAGAACUUGCUGGCGCCUCCAAAGAAUGUCAAGCAAGCUGCCCUCGCCAAACGCGCCGAGGACGAAAUUUGGACAAUCAGUAAUGGUCGUGAGCUUGCAGAGAUUUCUUCGACGUUACCGCACGUGCAGCCAAGACUGCUUAAGGUUACUAUGGAAGCCCCCGACCUGAGGGCGACUCAGUGGGCAGAACUUGUGACGCGUCGCGUGGGGGACGUCGAACUUCGGCUGCGGGGCCUUGAAUGCGAGUAUAUACGAUGCCCAUGACGACAUCCUCCAGCCACUGCUCGGGAGCAAAAUAAGACUGGUCCACUUGGAGGGUUGUGUGGGCACCCCCGCUGCAGUGGCCGCUCUCGCUUCAGUUGUCCACAACGCUCGUCUGACCAUCCGCAUGCCGGCGCCCCUGGACCUCAGCGCCUUCAGUAGCACGUACGAGCAACUCACGACUUUUGAGCUCCCUGCUAGAUGAUCCGCUGUGUGUGCGCUGCCAUCAUCGCCCUCACCAGCACUGAUUGUGGACGGGGCGGAUGAGGGGUCUUGGGAGGUCGUGGCCCACACCGUCGCCUCAUUUGCACCUAACGGGGGCCGGUUUGGGAAGCUGGAGGUGCUGGACAGCGAGCUGCGUGCGGAAGACGUGCAGCUUCUGCUGCUGAGACUCCAGGAGCUGCGCGUCAGGACGGGCGGCGAGGGCGACACGCGCGCCGAGACUCACCGGUCGAAGGUUCAUCUGUACAUCACUGAUGACUGCAAACUCAAGAGUGAAAGUGUUCAGCACAAAUAAAUGAUCGGCUACUGCAACAGCGGUCAGGAGCGGCGAAGUAAAUUGCCACAACACACGAUCGUCGCAACACGUGAUCAAAGCAUUAUGCGAUCGACGCAACAUGCGUUCCAUGAAACACUUCUCCCUUAUACAGAUUAUGAAAUUAUAACUUUCUCUUCUUAGACGCUACUCACAAUACUCACAAGCGACAAAUCCUUGAUAAUUAAGACGAACGUUUUCCAUACAAAGGAGCGGAUCAUCUAGCAAAUGCAGGAUCUUAGACCAAUUGUGCACCUCCGUCGUUUCAGCCCUUGUUGAACGUUCCAUAAUGUCGGAACUAUUGCUGCGUGUCCACAGACAUUUAAUUAAUCCGCUACUUAGGACGAUGAAUGUGGCCAUAAUUUACAUGUCAUCACAAUGCAAAAAAUACUUAUUUGUAUUGAAUUUGUAAAAGUUUACAGUUCGGCAAUU
Long non-coding RNA from Hyalella azteca, 2175 nucleotides. RefSeq lists it as uncharacterized. The transcript has 6 exons. Lineage: Eukaryota; Metazoa; Arthropoda; Malacostraca; Amphipoda; Hyalellidae. The record is from RefSeq and is a predicted model, not a curated record.